AAGUCGUAACAAGGUUUCCGUAGGUGAACCUGCGGAAGGAUCAUUAAUAAAAUUGGAAUAUCUUAUUCUUAAACCCACUCUGAGUACUCGUACUUGUUGCUUCCGUGGGCAGCGAACCAUGUGUUUGCGUUCACCCAUCCGGUGGGCCCACGGGAGACAUUAUUAAACCCAGCAUUCCGUAUCCUCAGUCUGAUCAUGUUUUUUUAUUAAACGUUAAAACUUUCAACAACGGAUCUCUUGGUUCUCGCAUCGAUGAAGAACGCAGCGAAAUGCGAUAAGUAGUGUGAAUUGCAGAAUUCCGUGAAUCAUCGAAUCUUUGAACGCACAUUGCGCCUCCUGGCAUUCCGGGAGGCAUGCCUGUUCGAGCGUCAUCAAAUCCCCUCAAGCUUGGAUUCAUCCAUGACUUGGUAUUGGAGUUGGAGUGCACUCGAGUCAUUCCUGUCCGAAAACCCUUGGCAGGGUUGUCUGUACCAUUGAGUGUACUAAUCAACGUUAUGUUUCGCUCUUGUAUGGAUCAUCUCUAGCCGUCAACCCCCAACAAUCUUAAGUGUUUGACCUCGGAUCAGGUAGGGAUACCCGCUGAACUUAAGCAUAUCAAUAAGCGGAGGAAAAGAAACCAACAGGGAUUGCCUUAGUAACUGCGAGUGAAGCGGCAAAAGCUCAAAUUUUAAAUCUGUCACCUUCGGUGUCCGAGUUGUAAUUUGGAGAGAUAUCUUCGGUUUGGAUGCUGUCCGAAGUUCCUUGGAACAGGACGUCACAGAGGGUGAGAAUCCCGUAUGUGGAUGGCAACUCCUUACCAUGUGAAGUGUCUUCGACGAGUCGAGUUGUUUGGGAAUGCAGCUCAAAACGGGUGGUAAAUGUCAUCUAAAGCUAAAUAUUGGCGAGAGACCGAUAGCGCACAAGUAGAGUGAUCGAAAGAUGAAAAGCACUUUGAAAAGAGAGUCGAAAAGUACGUGAAAUUGUUGAAAGGGAAGCGCUCAAGACCAGACUCAAUCUGUGGUGAUCAGCGGUGCUUUUGUACCGUGCACUUGCCACUCUUUGGGACAGCAUCGGUUCGGGUGAUGGGAUAAAGGCUUGCGGAACGUAGCUCCCCUCGCGGGGAGUGUUAUAGCCACAGGCGCAAUGCCAUCGAUCCGGACCGAGGACCGCGCUUCUGCUAGGAUGCUGUCAUAAUGGUCUUCAGCGACC
This 1188-nucleotide ribosomal RNA is filed under the name uncultured fungus. RNAcentral describes it as "eukaryotic LSU rRNA". The stretch from base 553 to 1188 matches the Rfam family "Eukaryotic large subunit ribosomal RNA", at positions 1 to 649 of the family's 3401-position model. The record is from RNAcentral. Lineage: Eukaryota; Fungi.